GAGUUUGAACCUGGCUCAGGAUGAACGCUGGCGGCGUGCCUAACACAUGCAAGUCGAACGAAGACUGUGUGACGGAACUCUCCGGAGGGAAGACGCGCAGGACUGAGUGGCGGACGGGUGAGUAACGCGUGGGUAACCUGCCCUGUACAGGGGGACAACAGCUGGAAACGGCUGCUAAUACCGCAUAAGCCUACAGUACCGCAUGGUACAGCAGGAAAAACUCCGGUGGUACAGGAUGGGCCCGCGUCUGAUUAGUUAGUUGGCAGGGUAACGGCCUACCAAGACAACGAUCAGUAGCCGGCUUGAGAGAGUGAACGGCCACAUUGGGACUGAGACACGGCCCAAACUCCUACGGGAGGCAGCAGUGGGGAAUAUUGCACAAUGGGGGGAACCCUGAUGCAGCAACGCCGCGUGAGUGAAGAAGUAUUUCGGUAUGUAAAGCUCUAUCAGCAGGGAAGAAAAUGACGGUACCUGACUAAG
RNAcentral lists this ribosomal RNA (480 nucleotides) under uncultured bacterium. Its description in RNAcentral is "bacterial SSU rRNA". It matches the Rfam family "Bacterial small subunit ribosomal RNA", at positions 9 to 487 of the family's 1533-position model. The record is from RNAcentral.